Portunus trituberculatus (swimming crab) is the source of this 298-nucleotide long non-coding RNA. RefSeq lists it as uncharacterized. NCBI's taxonomy places the organism in Eukaryota, Metazoa, Arthropoda, Malacostraca, Decapoda, Portunidae. The transcript is spliced from 2 exons. The record is from RefSeq and is a predicted model, not a curated record.
GGCGACGGUGGUUGUGGUGGUGCUAGUGGUGCUGGUGCUGGUGCUGGUGCUGGUGGUGGUGGUGCAGUUCGGCUCAGCAACUACAGUGAGUGAACCAGAGAGAGAGAGAGAGAGAGAGAGAGAGAGAGAGAGAGCACCCACCACUCCAGAAAGUAGCCAUGGAUAUCUUAUCUGUGCCCAUCUCUGCCUCGUAUUCCGUCAGUCCGCACCACUCCCAACGGUAACUUGAAAUGGAGCGCCUGCCGUAGUUCCCCUUGAAAACAGAAAACGGAGCUAAUAAACUUUCAUUGUGACCGGA